Molecule: RNA transcript, 1431 nt
Organism: Pezoporus flaviventris
Lineage: Eukaryota; Metazoa; Chordata; Aves; Psittaciformes; Psittacidae
Gene: NKX2-8
Gene name: NK2 homeobox 8
Exons: 3
Source: RefSeq, a predicted model, not a curated record
CCAAUACUCCUUAGUGCUACGACGCAAAAUGGUGCUAAAAUAUAUUUAUCUCCUACCCCUCCUACUGACUCUUGCUCAUGGACAGGCGAGUGUUGGGCUCUCUGCGUUUCCUCAGCCAAGAUCAUGCCAUCACCCUUCCUGGGAGAAUGAUGCACCUUUCAGAACCAUGCCCAGAAAGGCAAACUCUCCCCCGAGAUCCCAUCCCCUCCACGCACACACCCGCCAGCCUUCCCCGCCGACAGCUCAACCGAGGUGUGAAAAAUCCCCCACUGAGGGUCGGAAACCUGCCGAUGACAAGAGGGAGAAUUGGAGGUAGCACGACAAACAGCCCGAGGAAAUAAAACAAAUAACGACUUAAAUUCCUUCCAGGUUUAAAGAGAGAGGGAAAAGGGGAGUAAAUAAAGAGGGAGAAGCGGGGACGGGGCUUUCGGCAGGCUCUGCGGAUGUCCUGGGAGGAUUCACUUUGUCUGCGGAUAGAAGGGACGCUAGUAGCUUUAGUGGCGAAUGGAGGGGGGUGGUUGUUGGUCAUCCACAUGCCACCCAAGAUGUUAUUCACUGCUAACAAUUACCAUUAUCUGUCCCCACUUUUGGCUAAUCAGACAGAAUAUGUAAUGAUGAAGCCUGUUUCCUGCUGUCUUUGGGAGGAUCAGUUUUACAGUGAGAAGCAUUUUGGAUUUACCAGAGCAGGAUGCUAAUAGCAUAAAGCAAGCUUCUGACCAUCACCACUCAGCGAACUACACCGGCUCGCCGUACCGAGGGUGGAUAGAAGCAGACAGAAAUCACUAUCCCUAAAUCCUGCCUGUGUGCGCCGGCGGGAUUCGGUCACUCCAAGCACCGCCAAGGGAAUCAUAGCACAUCCCUGAGCCUCGCCUCACUGUGCCUAGAUCUACACAUCUGCCAUGGUGGAGGGCAGGCUCCGGCCCACAGCCCCGUCUCCGUACAGCAUUGGUCUUGCCUUACACACGUAAAUGGUGCCGCAGAUAUAGAGCAUUUAAUGUGUGUGCAUGGGGGAAGACAGUCCUUUGGAUGGAUGAUGCGGGAGCCCUGCUAGGAUAAGUUGAAUAGUAAGGUAAUCGAGCUGCUGAAGAAAAGCAGUAAUGAAAGGGGCAGCCCGGUAUUACGCUUUAGCACCGAAGGAGCACAGACGCUACCGGCCCGCAAGCCCCAGGCGUCCGUGCCCGUGAGGGGAUCUGCGGCGGGUAGAGCCUCUCCCCAGGGCGUGAAAAGCCGGCUCCGUCUUGUGGGCCAGGUUGAAUGUAUUCCGGGGGGGGUUAGCUCAGAUCUCUUGUUGACUGUCGGGAUUAAUCCGGCCCCGUAAACAGCCAGGGCUCUGCCUGCAGGAGGUGCUUCGGCUCUCGACGGCCGCCGCCUCCCGGGUGGCUGCCCCAAGGCCCGGCCCCGGCCAUCCCCUUUCUCUAACCCCCUCGCUGU